UACGUAGGGUGCAAGCGUUGUCCGGAAUUAUUGGGCGUAAAGAGCUCGUAGGCGGUCUGUCGCGUCGGCUGUGAAAACUCGGGGCUCAACUCCGAGCUUGCAGUCGAUACGGGCAGGCUAGAGUUCGGCAGGGGAGACUGGAAUUCCUGGUGUAGCGGUGAAAUGCGCAGAUAUCAGGAGGAACACCGGUGGCGAAGGCGGAUCUCUGGGCCGUUACUGACGCUGAGGAGCGAAAGCGUGGGGAGCGAACAGG
RNAcentral lists this ribosomal RNA (253 nucleotides) under uncultured bacterium. RNAcentral's name for it is "partial 16S ribosomal RNA". It matches the Rfam family "Bacterial small subunit ribosomal RNA", at positions 524 to 776 of the family's 1533-position model. The record is from RNAcentral.